GAUGAACGCUGGCGGCGUGCCUAAUACAUGCAAGUCGAGCGAACAGACGAGGAGCUUGCUCCUCUGACGUUAGCGGCGGACGGGUGAGUAACACGUGGAUAACCUACCUAUAAGACUGGGAUAACUUCGGGAAACCGGAGCUAAUACCGGAUAACAUGUUGGACCGCAUGGUUCAACAGUGAAAGACGGUCUUGCUGUCACUUAUAGAUGGAUCCGCGCCGCAUUAGCUAGUUGGUAAGGUAACGGCUUACCAAGGCAACGAUGCGUAGCCGACCUGAGAGGGUGAUCGGCCACACUGGAACUGAGACACGAUCCAGACUCCUACGGGAGGCAGCAGUAGGGAAUCUUCCGCAAUGGGCGAAAGCCUGACGGAGCAACGCCGCGUGAGUGAAGAAGGUCUUCGGAUCGUAAAACUCUGUUAUUAGGGAAGAACAAAUGUGUAAGUAACUAUGCACGUCUUGACGGUACCUAAUCAGAAAGCCACGGCUAACUACGUG
Molecule: ribosomal RNA, 497 nt
Filed under: uncultured bacterium
Lineage: Bacteria
Description: partial 16S ribosomal RNA
Rfam family: Bacterial small subunit ribosomal RNA
Source: RNAcentral